RNAcentral lists this ribosomal RNA (393 nucleotides) under Babesia bigemina. RNAcentral's name for it is "SSU rRNA". It matches the Rfam family "Eukaryotic small subunit ribosomal RNA", at positions 440 to 901 of the family's 1831-position model. Lineage: Eukaryota; Apicomplexa; Aconoidasida; Piroplasmida; Babesiidae. The record is from RNAcentral.
AUUACCCAAUCCGGACACGGUGAGGUAGUGACAAGAAAUAACAAUACAGGGCUUUCGUCUUGUAAUUGGAAUGAUGGUGAUGUACAACCUCACCAGAGUACCAAUUGGAGGGCAAGUCUGGUGCCAGCAGCCGCGGUAAUUCCAGCUCCAAUAGCGUAUAUUAAACUUGUUGCAGUUAAAAAGCUCGCAGUUGUAUUUCAGCCUCGCGUUUUUUCCCUCUUUUCGGGUCUUUUCGCUGGCUUUGUUUCUACUUUGAGAAAAUUAGAGUGUUUCAAGCAGACUUUUGUCUUGAAUACUUCAGCAUGGAAUAAUAGAGUAGGACCUUGGUUCUAUUUUGUUGGUUUCGAGCCUCGGUAAUGGUUAAUAGGAACGGUUGGGGGCAUUCGUAUUUAA